Non-coding RNA from Ornithorhynchus anatinus (platypus), 72 nucleotides. The record is from Rfam. Lineage: Eukaryota; Metazoa; Chordata; Mammalia; Monotremata; Ornithorhynchidae.
AGCAGCGUGGCUCAGUGGAAAGAGCAUGGGCUUGGGAGUCAGAGGUCAUGGGUUCAAAUCCCGGUUCUGCUA